UGUUGGAUGCUUGGAAAGAGACUUGUGCUUCACCAACUACAACAACAAUUGUGAUUCCUGAAGGGACAUAUUUAUUAAGUCAAGCAACCCUGGAAGGUCCUUGUAAGACUCCAAUUGAGCUUCAAGUUCAGGGCAAUAUAAAAGCACCAGCUGAUCCUAAAGCUUUUAAGGAGCCUAAAUGGAUUGGAUUCAAUAAAGUAGAAAAUUUGAA
This is a long non-coding RNA of Hibiscus syriacus, 211 nucleotides long. RefSeq lists it as uncharacterized. Lineage: Eukaryota; Viridiplantae; Streptophyta; Magnoliopsida; Malvales; Malvaceae. The record is from RefSeq and is a predicted model, not a curated record. The transcript is spliced from 5 exons.